Molecule: small nucleolar RNA, 134 nt
Filed under: Hucho hucho (huchen)
Lineage: Eukaryota; Metazoa; Chordata; Actinopteri; Salmoniformes; Salmonidae
Source: RNAcentral
UCUGAGGCCUAUCCCGACAGACUCCUCACAGUGAGCCUUAGUUGUUGGAAAUGCCUCAAAGAACAAACCUGUGGUUUCGCUUUACCCUCAAAGCUACUGCCAUUGGCCCUGUGGGAUAUCACUGCAGAACAAAU